This 430-nucleotide ribosomal RNA is filed under the name uncultured bacterium. Its description in RNAcentral is "bacterial SSU rRNA". It matches the Rfam family "Bacterial small subunit ribosomal RNA", at positions 355 to 776 of the family's 1533-position model. The record is from RNAcentral.
UGGGGAAUAUUGGACAAUGGGGGCAACCCUGAUCCAGCAAUUCUGCGUGUGUGAAGAAGGCCUGCGGGUUGUAAAGCACUUUCAGUAGCCAAGAUGGGAUUAAGUGUUAAUACCACUUAGUCUUGACAUUAACUACAGAAGAAGCACCGGCUAACUCCGUGCCAGCAGCCGCGGUAAUACGGAGGGUGCAAGCGUUAAUCGGAAUUAUUGGGCGUAAAGAGUACGUAGGCGGCUUUUCAAGUCGGAUGUGAAAUCCCUGAGCUUAACUUAGGAACUGCAUUCGAUACUGAAUCGCUAGAGUUUAUUAGAGGAUAGUGGAAUUUCAAGUGUAGCGGUGAAAUGCGUAGAUAUUUGAAGGAACACCAAUGGCGAAGGCAGCUAUCUGGAAUAAUACUGACGCUGAGGUACGAAAGCGUGGGGAGCAAACAGG